GUACUCACUUCGGCAGCACAUAUACUAAAAUUGGAACGAUACAGAGAAGAUUAGCAUGGCCCCUGCACAAGGAUGACAUGCAAAUUUGUGAAGCAUUCUAUAUUUUU
This 107-nucleotide small nuclear RNA is filed under the name Meriones unguiculatus (Mongolian gerbil). Lineage: Eukaryota; Metazoa; Chordata; Mammalia; Rodentia; Muridae. The record is from RNAcentral.